Molecule: small RNA, 122 nt
Filed under: uncultured Eubacterium sp.
Lineage: Bacteria; Bacillati; Bacillota; Clostridia; Eubacteriales; Eubacteriaceae
Description: Ribosomal protein L10 leader
Rfam family: Ribosomal protein L10 leader
About the family: This family is a putative r-protein leader autoregulatory structure found in B. subtilis and other low-GC Gram-positive bacteria.
Source: RNAcentral
UAAUACCAAUUGCCGAAGACAGUAGGUGACAUUAGUCGUAAAUCAUAAGAUGCCUACCGAGGGAUAAGAAUUUUUAAUGACUUAUACACCUCUCUGUCUAGGCAGAGAGGUUUUUAUAUUGA